Molecule: long non-coding RNA, 967 nt
Organism: Homo sapiens (human)
Lineage: Eukaryota; Metazoa; Chordata; Mammalia; Primates; Hominidae
Gene: MAP9-AS1
Product: MAP9 antisense RNA 1
Source: Ensembl
GCUCUAUUCCAGAAGCAGUCUGGAGCACAAAGAAUCCCUAAUCACUGACAUUAAGAAAGAAGAAAAAUAUUCCUAGGACGAUCCUGGAGAGCAAAGGUCAUCAGCAGUCACUUGACUUUCCUUGGAUUUCUCAACUGCAGUAGUCACAUGGUCUGCUGAAAAUGAAUUCUCUUUAUUUUCAUCUGAUUUCAAGGAAUUAUGGUUUUCAGUGAUUUCUUCAUUUGGAUCUAUUUUGAGACAGAGUAAUAGCAUUAAAACCCCCUUCUGAAUUAAUAAGGUAACAUGGGCUUAAAAUCACUCAAUUCACUAUUGGAUUCUUUGGAGCUGUUAAUCUGUUCAGUGAAAAGAACAAGAACUUUGGAACUCAAGAUUUAACUAUGGUUCCAUCACUGACCUUGGGCAUUUGUUGCUGAAACGCAAAGUGUGACAAGCCAAUGGAGGCCAAGAUUUGAUUUUGAUAGCUCUUCCUACAAUUAUCCUUUGAAGGAAAGCAUAAAGAAGACAGUAUUUUAUGGGUGCAAAGGAAAUUAUAUGUCAAAAGCAAUGGAGAGAAAACAUUUGAGAAAAUGGAAGAAGUGCUGAGACACUGGAGUCUACCCUGAAAGAUAAAGCUUCACCUGAGGAGAUCUGCAAAUUAGUAGCUUUUUGCCAGAAGGCAUUCUCCAGUCUAUGCAGCUCAAGUAAUAGAAGGCUACAGCCUUGGUGGAAUGACUUGAGGGAACAGGGGACUGAGUCUAGGACCAUCAGAUCAGCCAAUAAGUAUGUGGAAAAUAGCAGAGGACAGUGACCACAAAAUCUGCAUAUGAAAUUCACCAAAAACCUUUACCACCUCUAUUUGUGGCAUAAGGGAGACCUCAGAGGAUCCUGUAAAAGCAUAGAAGCUAGAAACUGAAAAGAAUUAAGCAGAAAUUUCAGCUGAUAUCCACUGCAGGAGAAACAGGAUUGGGAAUUUGUGUCCAGCCAUGAU